Molecule: long non-coding RNA, 1243 nt
Filed under: Homo sapiens (human)
Lineage: Eukaryota; Metazoa; Chordata; Mammalia; Primates; Hominidae
Description: long non-coding RNA NONHSAT216445.1
Source: RNAcentral
AGCAAAGUGCUGAUUAGUGCUGGAACAAGAAAAGUACAAGAUGCAAUUGGACCAUGAACAAGAAGCUACUAACUUCUUUAGAGAAAGCAUUCUCACAGGCCUUCGAUGAAUUGGACGAUGUCCACCCACAUGGUGAGGGCAGAUCUUUCUUACUCCACCCACCGAUGCAGAUGUCAAUCUCUUCUGGAAGCACUUUCAAGGGCAUACCCAGAGCUAAAGCUUGACCAGCAUUAGUUGGUAAAUAUGUGAUUAGGAACUCUUUAUGAACCAGAAAAGAGAAAUCUUGCACUGAUUGGAAUAUGGCAGCCACUCACCAUCUCCCCUGUCUGCUCUCACUCAGUUUAUGUGACCCAAUGGGAAUGGAGAAUCUCAGGCAUAAAACCAACUGCUUCGUGGGUUACUCUGGAAAAUUCUAAACUGAAGCUUUUUGAGAAAGGCGACAUUACCUCAGAACUUCCACAUGUAGCUACUGUGGAGUUUCUGUUUAUGUGAAUGGAUAUUUUCACCAGAUAUUGGAAACAUGCUGAAGCUGGAUUCCAGUGCAAUAAAGGCAACUCAUUUAGCCAUUGGCCUGUGAUACUAUGAGAAAUACAGUUAAAUUAGACGAAUGCUCCACCAGGAAUUGUGGCCAAAAUAAAUGAUCAUUUUUUAAAAAAGAAAAAGAUAAAGACACAACAGAUUGUCAUUUUUUUCUUCUUGUCGAUGUCCUUGAAAAACAGACUUGAAGUCUCAAAUGAACACCUUAAAUUCCAAAUAACCAUUGAGGCAUUGGGGAAGACUUGUCUCCUUGUUGAUUCUAUGGAUGGAUAGAUGGAUGAUGAGUACUACAAAUAUUUUUAUCUCCUAUGUAUAAAUUAAAGGAAUAGUAACUGAGAAGGGCUUCAGAAAGCUUAUUGGAGGAUAGGCAUUCAGAGAAAAAACUGAAGGAUGAGUAAUUACAGGUGAAGUUGGAGGAGAGGCUAUUUUUGAUUGAAAGAAAAGUAAAGAGAAAGGCAUAGACAGAACUAAAGGAAAUGCAAUUUUACCUCUCAUACGAAGAGCAAUGAUUGUCCCCUCACUUUCAUAUUUCAAUAGAAGAAAAAUCUUUUUCCAAAUAAAAAUCAGAAAACUAAAAAAAUUAUUGAAAUAUUUCUAAUAAAUAACAUUUUCCUAUUUAUUACUUUAUUGCUAUAUUUUCUUAUAAAAUAUAUUUAAAUUAGAUACACAUAAAUAAUAUAUAAUCUAUCUUUAAAUUAGCAAAAUU